AUGUCGGCGACAGUCCUCCGGAGCCAGGGCGGCUGCAGCGCGCCAGCGGCCCGACCCGCGGUGCGAGGCGCAGCCCGGCGGGGUCCGGCCCCGCGGGGCCCCGCGCGCUCUGCACCUGCCGGAGUCGCCGCCUGCGGCGGGCGUCUGCCCUUGCCAGAGGGGCGGGAGCCCAAGUCCUCAGGUGGCAGGCGGCGGGCGAGCACCCCGGGGCGCCGCUCCGUCCGCUCCAGAGGGCCCCGAAGGCUCGCGCCGCGCUCGGCCGCCCACUCCCGACGGCCGGAGCCCGAGCGCCGCGCUCGGUCCGCGCCGCCCGGGUGCCCCCCAAACUUGAAGCAGGCCUCCUGUGCUGGCGCAGGGGGGCGCAGGGGGGCGCAGGCGGGCGCAGGGGGGCGCAGAUCCCCCGCUGCACGCGCUGCCUUAGGACCAAGCUCCCUGCCCGAGCGUCCCCCAAACUGCUCCCUAGCGGCUCCGCAGCGGGAAGCCCAGGUCGCUCCCUCGGAAGGACCCGGGCCGCGGGCUUCGCGGGGGCAGGGCGCGCCCCGGGGCCCCCUCCUCAGCCUCCGCCGAGCCCCCGCGGGCGGACGCGGCGGACCUCGGGGGAGCGACGGCCAGGCGGGGCGCAGCGGGCCCUUCCGGCUGCGGCGGGGACACGCAAGUUUGCCCGCAAAGCCGGCGCGGGGAGGCAGCGAGGACGCCCGCUCCGCACCCCAGCCCGGCCAAGGGCGCGCGGCUCGCCGAGGCCGCCCGGGGGCCCGAGCGGGGAGCGGCGCCUGCGGGGUCCCGGAGCGGUUCCGCUGCGCGCGCCGGCCGGCUCGCCCUGGCACCGGCUGCGGCCCCGGCCACCCCUCCGCGCCCCAGCCCGCCCCCCGAGUCCUGGCCGGGGCCGGGGAGCCCGGGCGCGCCCGAGUCCCGCGGUCCCGAGCCCGCCGCCCGCCAGGCGGGCAAACUUGGCUCUCCCGGCGAGCGCCCGCGCGGGUCCUGCGGGGAGGGGCGGCGCGGGGGGCGCGGGGGGCGCGGGGGGCGCGGGCGGCGCGGGCGCCCGGACCCCAGCGGCGCGCGGCGGGACCGGCUGGCGGCGGCGGCGGCGGCGGCUCGGCACCCUCCCCGCGCCCGCGUACCUGA
This 1122-nucleotide long non-coding RNA is filed under the name Canis lupus familiaris (dog). RNAcentral describes it as "lncRNA (ENSCAFG00030010185.1)". The record is from RNAcentral. Lineage: Eukaryota; Metazoa; Chordata; Mammalia; Carnivora; Canidae.